AGUGAACGCUGGCGGUAGGCCUAACACAUGCAAGUCGAACGGCAGCACAGUAAGAGCUUGCUCUUACGGGUGGCGAGUGGCGGACGGGUGAGGAAUACAUCGGACUCUACUUUUUCGUGGGGGAUAACGUAGGGAAACUUACGCUAAUACCGCAUACGACCUACGGGUGAAAGCAGGGGAUCUUCGGACCUUGCGCGAUUGAAUGAGCCGAUGUCGGAUUAGCUAGUUGGCGGGGUAAAGGCCCACCAAGGCGACGAUCCGUAGCUGGUCUGAGAGGAUGAUCAGCCACACUGGAACUGAGACACGGUCCAGACUCCUACGGGAGGCAGCAGUGGGGAAUAUUGGACAAUGGGCGCAAGCCUGAUCCAGCCAUACCGCGUGGGUGAAGAAGGCCUUCGGGUUGUAAAGCCCUUUUGUUGGGAAAGAAAAGCAGCAGGUUAAUACCACGCGGUUCUGACGGUACCCAAAGAAUAAGCACCGGCUAACUUCGUG
Molecule: ribosomal RNA, 492 nt
Filed under: uncultured bacterium
Lineage: Bacteria
Description: partial 16S ribosomal RNA
Rfam family: Bacterial small subunit ribosomal RNA
Source: RNAcentral